This 216-nucleotide ribosomal RNA is filed under the name uncultured bacterium. RNAcentral's name for it is "partial 16S ribosomal RNA". It matches the Rfam family "Bacterial small subunit ribosomal RNA", at positions 1285 to 1500 of the family's 1533-position model. The record is from RNAcentral.
GCCCCAGUUCGGAUUGCAGGCUGCAACCCGCCUGCAUGAAGCCGGAAUCGCUAGUAAUCGCGGAUCAGAAUGCCGCGGUGAAUACGUUCCCGGGUCUUGUACACACCGCCCGUCACACCAUGAGAGUCGGGAAUGCCCGAAGUCAGUGGCCCAACCGGAAGGGGGGAGCUGCCGAAGGCAGGCCCGGUGACUGGGGUGAAGUCGUAACAAGGUACC